Rhineura floridana is the source of this 692-nucleotide long non-coding RNA. RefSeq lists it as uncharacterized. Lineage: Eukaryota; Metazoa; Chordata; Lepidosauria; Squamata; Rhineuridae. The transcript is spliced from 3 exons. The record is from RefSeq and is a predicted model, not a curated record.
CUGAAGACCAAUUUUACACAGAAGAGGUGAGAGUUAAGGUGCUGCAUAUAACCUCAAAUGGCCUUGGAUCAAACUACUAGAGGGAUGGUCUUCUUUCAUGUGAAGACACUCAUCAGUUAAUGCAGUAACCCUCUUGCGUGUACCAUGACCUUCUGAGGUCCACCUGAAAAGAGAAUGCCCGGAUAAGUGUACAUAACCUUUCAGCUUCAGAACUGCAGAGCCAGGCUGCUUGUUUUACUUGCCAUGUGAAAAGUGAACCAGCUCCAACUCUUUAGAAUUCCAGAUGCUCCGUCGCUACAGGCUGGAGAGGCUUCAAGACACACAGAGAAGGAAGAGCCUAUGGCUGCUUCCAGCUCUCCUAAAGUGGCCUUUCUAGAACUUGCAUAGAAGUGCAGAUUCUUUGAAGAAAGUUGGUAAGGAAGUCAUGGUCAAGAUGCACAAGCACGCACACGUUCACUACAUCAAUGGUGUAGUGGGAAGGAAUGCAGAGGAGUGUAGCUCUGAGAUGUUUUUAGAGCAGGAGUGAUGAUGUCAUCUGCUGGAGUGUCAGGUUAUGAACUCUCUUUGCUCUUGCAAGUGGAUGAGGUGCUCAAGUUUUAUUUUUAUUUGCCUAGAGAAAGUUGGAGAAUAAGGUCACUUCCAGACAACUUGUUUAUUGAGCAUUCAUCCUGCUUUGUUUACAUAAAGUUUGU